RNAcentral lists this long non-coding RNA (3352 nucleotides) under Panax ginseng (ginseng). RNAcentral describes it as "long non-coding RNA (PGIN_LNC010085)". The record is from RNAcentral. Lineage: Eukaryota; Viridiplantae; Streptophyta; Magnoliopsida; Apiales; Araliaceae.
AUUGGUACUCCAUAUAGUAAGCUUAAUGAUGUUGAUCAUCUAAUCUUCAGCGAUCCGAUCCACAGGAAAGAAAAGAGAAAAUAAGAACAAGUGUUGCUAGAUCCGAUCCUUGGAUUUUCGUUUUAAUUUUGACAUGCAUGUUUCUUUCAUCCAAACACAAGAUCGAUCGAUUCAUAUAUUUGAAUCAGGACAGAUCGAGCUUUUAUUAGAGCGAAGCAAUGGAUUCUUUUAUCUCUUCUUUUCCUUAUUUCUCUCCUUAUUAUUGAGAGAGAAAAAUGCAUCGCUACAGAUCUACUACUAUUGUUCGAUUUACUUUUAGAUCAGAAAUUGUUGCUCAACUUUUUCUGGCUGAGCGAAUAAUUCAACCGAAUUUUCUUAACCCAAAUAUUUUUGUUAUUCAGUUAUUUUUUAUAUUCGGUUAUAGUGUUUCGGUGUUUUUUUAUUAUUCGGUUAAUUGAAUAUUAAAAUAAAUAUUAAACUUGCAGUUAAAAGAGUUAUUAAGGUCUGACUCCUUCAUCAAGAAUCAAGUAUGAGCAUAGAGAGCCAUGCCUACGUUUAUGGUAUGUAAUAACUCCUAUUUUUGUUAAAUAUUAAUUUAUUUAUUUUAAAAAAUAUAAUUAAAUUAAAAAAAGUAAGUUGUUAUUACUAUUUUUAUUUAGUUUUAAAAGUUAAAUUAUUUUAGUAGAUAAUUAAUAAUUAAUUUAAUAAAAAUUGAAUAGUCUAUUAGAAUCUUGGUAACUCUUAUAUUAUUUUGUGUUUAUAUUUAUUUAUAAUGUUUUUACUUACAUGCACUACGACUCAUUAAAAAAAAUUAUAAUUAAUUCAUCUGAUGUUAAAAUUAAAUUAAUCCAAAACUUAUUUUUUCAAAUUUUUGUUCUCUACAAUUACGAAAAAAAAUUAUUUGAUAUCAUAUUCAUGUCUUAAAUUGCUGAAAACAGCAACAUGUCAUGAUUUCCGCUACACUCAACAACGCCUUUUAUGCAAAAUUAGUUGGGGUAGGGUAGGCUGCAAAUUGAAACCCAUAUGGAAGCGAGAAAGGAAUAUGUCCAAAAAAAAAAAACUAGUAUAAUUGAGAUGUACUGAAAGGGAGAUAAAAUUAGUUUCUUGCAAUUUUCCAUGUUGCAUUUCAGAUUGGAGUAUGGAUAUAAUGUAGUAGUUCAGAUAUCUGUAAAGGCAAAUUUACAAAUAAAUAAAUGACUGUCAAUAAGUCUACAAGUAAAUCAUCAAUAGCACGACCAGGGAGCUUCACUGAACCACUACUUCCUCCACUGCAUUACCCUAUACUAGGUUUGAUGGUAAAACUCAGGCUGUUUACUACUUUACAUCUCUUCCUUACUACUGUUCUCAUAGUUAAGUUUAUGCACAGUUUCUUAAACUCUUUUCUUUCUUCUUGUUGAUAAUAUUACAUCAUAUUAUUAAAAUCAUUAUUUCAUUUCCCAGUUAAAUUUGGUUUUGUAUGCACCUUCUUCUUUUCUACUGAGUUAUAGACAAACUUCAAAUGGUCAAAUACAAUAUUCUUGCUACGCCACUAACGAGGGAUGUCGUUUGAUUGCCUCAUUAUUACUAGACUAGAUCAAAAAAUGUUUUUCUUCUAUAAAUGUCAGUGACUUUUAUCUUUAAGUCUGAUUUGUAGCUUGUAAGAUUCAAUCUCCUGUUAUAGAAGCUUAGUACAACCUCUUGAUACCUUUCUUUUCCAAAGAGUAAGAUUUUGAAUUUCUUGGGGGAGUUAAGUGUUGGUUAUGCUCCAAAAUUUAUAAUUUUGACAUAGUCCCAUAUCAUCUAUUUUGAAAAUUUUCUUUGUGUAUAUUAUUACAUGUUGACUUGAGUUUAGUAACAUGGUUGAGAAAAUAGGGAUGGGCUCGUGCACAUGAGGAUGGCUAGAAUUGGGUUGGGCUAAGCUUGGUUUUUGGACUUUCAAUCAGAAAACUUUAGUGCGGUGUGUGUGCGUGAUACGCCCGCGCAGAGGGGGGUGCUGAUCUGGUUGAUUAUGCCGUAAGUGCACCCAGAGGUAGCCCAGUUCUUCAGAGAUGAAACAGUACAACCAUAUCUCCUUCUUUUCUUUCUGUUACCAUAUCUCCUUCUUUUCUUUCUGUUACAGCAUAUACAGUCUUCUUCUUCAUCUUUUAUCUAGAUCGCGCAGAGGGGGGUGCCGAUCCGGUUGAUUAUACGGGUGCACCUAGGUAGCCCAUUGUUUUGCUUAAAUCCCUUUUAUUUCUUUUAAUACCAAGCCUAAUUGCUGAUUUAAUACCCUAGCCGUUUCUAGCCCAAUUCUUCAGAGAUGAAACAGUACAACCAUAUCUCCUUUCUUCAUCCUUUAUCUAGGUAGCCCAGUUCUUCAGAGAUGAAACAGUACAGCCAUAUCUCCUUCUUUUCUUUCUGUUACAACAUAUACAGUCUUCUUCUUCAUCUUUUAUCUAGAUAGUCUGUUCUUAUAUACUCUGUUGUUAAUUGGACAAUCCACAAAGACAAGUCCACAACCUUCUUCUGCGAGUACACGCAAUUGAAAGCUUCGCUGUUGAAUCCUGGAGGGUGAACGCCGUGAAACUCAAUUGUACCGAAGGUUUAUAACCAGUGAGGGCGGAAUCACUUUUUAGGACAGUAGUUUUGCUACGCCUCGGCUUUCUUCGUAUACCAAAUAAGUUGUUCCAGUUUUAUUCAUCAAUUGGUCUUGGUAAUACUGCUAUAUAUUCCAACAGUAAGUGUCUUUUUUCUAUUCCGUUGUGAAUAUUUGUAAUAUGUUUAGAAGCCUUUUGCUUACUAUCCUCGAUUUAUUUAUUUACGGUUACUCUUUGUAGUUGUAUUUACGUAUGAUUGAUAUUCAUAUUCAUAUUCAUUUAGUAACAGAAAAACUUAUUUCAGGUUGAGUUUUGAUAGUUGGACAUUUUUUUUGUUGUAAACACUCUGUGCUGUCUAAUAUAUUCUUUAGCUAGGUAUGCAUGCAUUUUGAACCAUGUGACAGGCAAGAAUAAUACGGUGCUUUUGAGCAUUCAACCAAAACUGUGUCAAAAGUGGAAUUCCACCUUAACUUAAAUUCUUACUCUUUUCUUGUACAGAUUGUCGAGUUUACAGUUGAACUUAUAGCUCUGCUCAGAAAAUCAAUGAUUGGUGAUACAGCUCCUCUCUGCGUGAUUGAAAACUCUACCAUUUUACUAGGUUGAAAGCUCAAUCUCUUGUCUUGUUUUAUAUCAAUUAGCUUCAAACUAGAAAAAGUUAUAUUUUGAGGUUUGUAUUGGAGCAACAGGACCUAGGAUAAAGAUGUGACUAGGCUGAUUGCUAAUUCUUCCAUUUUCCUUACUUAUGAAUGCAUAUGAAUUAUCUUUUUUCAAUUAAUGGUAAAUCUAUUUUAUCGUGG